CUUUUUUAUUGGUAUACCCACCUCCACCCCUUUUUACCAUAAGAUUCUAAGCAGAUAAACUAUUUCAUUGCUAGUACACUAUUUACCUUGCCUCCCCAGCUCCCCCCUUCCUCCUUCCAGGUCCUUGCACAGCCCCCCCUACUGAUGAGCAAAGCUUCUCCCUCCAAUACUGCAGAGCCUUCAGACAUUAGCCAAUCCAAAGACAGGCAGUGGGCUGGUUUUAAUAUGUCACUGUCCCAGGCAAAAAAAAAAACCUCCUGCAUCUUUUAGUGUGUAGGGCAGGGAUCUGGGAGACAUAACUGCCUUAUAGCAACUGACUUGUCUGCUGAUUGAGUGCUGCAGCCCUUGAACGGGAACCUUGCAAUUCUGUUUUUGUUUCUUUGCACUUGAGAACAUUUGCUUAUUGGGUUUGACUGGUCAAUAUUCAGGAUGAUAGCUGCCCAGCUCCUGGCCUAUUACUUCACCGAAUUGAAAGAUGAUCAGGUCAAAAAG
Non-coding RNA from Pelobates cultripes (western spadefoot toad), 492 nucleotides. The record is from the annotation of a GenBank genome assembly. NCBI's taxonomy places the organism in Eukaryota, Metazoa, Chordata, Amphibia, Anura, Pelobatidae.